Nicotiana tabacum (common tobacco) is the source of this 1180-nucleotide non-coding RNA. Lineage: Eukaryota; Viridiplantae; Streptophyta; Magnoliopsida; Solanales; Solanaceae. The record is from RefSeq and is a predicted model, not a curated record.
UUAUUUAUUUUCUAAAUAAAAGUAGAUGUGGCCUAGCUCCAGUUACGUUUUUUUCCAAAUCUGAACCCUUUUCCCUUUUCCUUUAUCUCCAAUAAAGUUUUCCCCCAAUACUCUAAUCCCUCGUACCCAUUUCCCCCUUUUCAUUUUACUCUAGAUCCAGUCAUAUUUUCCCCAAAUCUGAACCCUUUUCACUUUUCCCUUAUCUCCCAUUACGUUUUCGGUUUUCCCCAAUUCACUCUAAUCCAUCAGACCCAUUUUCCCCUUUUAAUUUCUCUCUUUGAAAUCCCUCAAAUCCAGUAGUCUGGUGAGAGAUCUCCAGAAGAUCUGUGUCCGUUUGCUAAUGACAUUCAGACUAUUUGCGCAUCAUCGUCGUAUUCAACCCAUGAACUCAGAAGUCGGUGAUUUCUAUAGCAAACGCAAAAGGCACUCCGUAAAAAACUGAUUUUAGUUGAAGACUUGCAUGAAGCACAAAAUGAGGAUAAGAAUGAAAUUGUAAUCAUCAUGCGUCUACUUGUUCCUAACAAUUUGGUUGGAUGCCUUUUAGGAAGAAAAGGCGAUGUUAUUCAGAAAUUGCAAAGUGAGAUUGGGGCAAGCAUUCAUGUUCAAUCUGCUGAGCAUCUUCCAGUUUGUGCUAUGACCACUGAUGAACUGGUCCAAGAAAGGAUAAAUCUGGUGCUUUUUCCAAUUAUCAAAGGCAGUGGAGGGGACUCCAUUAACAUCCUAUUCUUGCUUUUGGUGUGGAUGGAACAUGUAAAUGAGGUUGAAAUUGUUCUUCAGGUGCUAGAAUUAUUACAAGAUUAGUUUUUUGGGGCUUAUCCUUUUACUUUUUCUGCCUCUGUUAAUUAUUUAAAGCUACAAUAGCACAUUCUUAGUUCUGGAUUUAUAACAUUACCUUACCUUUUCAAAAGAAAUGUUUAGUAUGAAGAGUAAAUGUUGCACGUACUUUAACAUUGUCAAUGUAUUGAAUUAGUAUGGUAAGUUGAUUGCACUACUUAUUAUUCACUGUUGGUUAUUAUUUGAUUGACUCAUUUGCAAAAAAAAAGUUAUUAUAAUUGUUAUUCCUGUGCGCAACAUCAUCAACAUAUACCAACUGAUCAGGUGCUGGUGCGUGUAUAAUGUCGUAAUCUUUUCCCAUAUUCCAUAUAUAUAAUACCAUCUGGUCAUGAGUCGAUGUAACCGU